RNAcentral lists this ribosomal RNA (458 nucleotides) under uncultured Thauera sp. RNAcentral's name for it is "bacterial SSU rRNA". It matches the Rfam family "Bacterial small subunit ribosomal RNA", at positions 923 to 1382 of the family's 1533-position model. The record is from RNAcentral. Lineage: Bacteria; Pseudomonadati; Pseudomonadota; Betaproteobacteria; Rhodocyclales; Zoogloeaceae.
GCACAAGCGGUGGAUGAUGUGGAUUAAUUCGAUGCAACGCGAAAAACCUUACCUACCCUUGACAUGUCUGGAACCUUGGUGAGAGCCGAGGGUGCCUUCGGGAGCCAGAACACAGGUGCUGCAUGGCUGUCGUCAGCUCGUGUCGUGAGAUGUUGGGUUAAGUCCCGCAACGAGCGCAACCCUUGUCCUUAGUUGCCACCAUUCAGUUGGGCACUCUAAGGAGACUGCCGGUGUUAAACCGGAGGAAGGUGGGGAUGACGUCAAGUCCUCAUGGCCCUUAUAUCCAGGGCUACACACGUGCUACAAUGGCCGGUACAAAGGGUCGCAAUACCGCGAGGGGGAGCUAAUCCCAUAAAGCCAGUCGUAGUCCGGAUCGUAGUCUGCAACUCGACUACGUGAAGUCGGAAUCGCUAGUAAUCGUGGAUCAGAAUGUCACGGUGAAUACGUUCCCGGGUCUU